UACGUAGGGUGCAAGCGUUAAUCGGAAUUACUGGGCGUAAAGCGUGCGCAGGCGGUUGUGUAAGACAGAUGUGAAAUCCCCGGGCUCAACCUGGGAACUGCAUUUGUGACUGCACAGCUGGAGUGCGGCAGAGGGGGAUGGAAUUCCGCGUGUAGCAGUGAAAUGCGUAGAUAUGCGGAGGAACACCGAUGGCGAAGGCAAUCCCCGUGGGCCUGCACUGACGCUCAUGCACGAAAGACGUGGGGAGCAAACAGG
Molecule: ribosomal RNA, 255 nt
Filed under: uncultured bacterium
Lineage: Bacteria
Description: partial 16S ribosomal RNA
Rfam family: Bacterial small subunit ribosomal RNA
Source: RNAcentral